RNAcentral lists this long non-coding RNA (763 nucleotides) under Oryza sativa (Asian cultivated rice). RNAcentral's name for it is "long non-coding RNA (OSAT_LNC000689)". The record is from RNAcentral. Lineage: Eukaryota; Viridiplantae; Streptophyta; Magnoliopsida; Poales; Poaceae.
AUGUUGAGGAGGCCGGAAGCUAGCAGCAAUAUUCUGAAGUUAAAUUCAACUGCAAUAUAGGAACGUCAGCACAUCUACUGUCAGAAAAUUAGUUGAUUCAACCUGUAAUUGCUGUCAUGCAGAUUUAGUUUAUUAGCAUCUAAUAAGUAUCGGAUGUGACUUGACAGAAAAGUGAUUACAUCGGAUACAAAAGCUGAAAAGCAAUUUAACAUGUCAGGCCCUGUUUAGUUCGGGAAAAGAAAAUUUUUAGGUGUCACAUCGGACGUUUGACCGGAUGUCGGAAGGGGUUUUCAGACACGAAUAAAAAAACUAAUUUCAGAACUCGCCGGAAAACCGCGAGACGAAUCUAUUGAGACUAAUUAAGCCGUCAUUAACACAUGUGGGUUACUGUAGCACUUAUGGCUAAUCACGGACUAAUUAUGCCUAAAAGAUUCGUCUCGCGAUUUUCCUCAUAACUGUGCAAUUAGUUUUUCUUUUUAUCUAUAUUUAAUACUUUAUGCAUGUGUCAAAAGAUUCGGUGCGAUGUUUUUGGGAAAAAAUUUUGGAAACUAAACGGGCCCUCAUUAGUCAUUACCUGUUAUUACAGACAAAUCAUGAGUUUAGGGAUCCCAACAGCGUUGUCCAUUGCUGUAGGCCAAGGCGCGGAGAUCAAUAACCACCUGCACACAUACAGUAGCAUAGUUUAAAAGAAUACGGAUCGAUUGCUAGAUUCCACAGCCUCAGCCGCGCCGUUGGACCGAGAAAGGAUCGGUGGCAGUGAGGA